CCUACGGGAGGCAGCAGUGAGGAAUAUUGGUCAAUGGGCGGGAGCCUGAACCAGCCAAGCCGCGUGAGGGAAGAAGGUACAGCGUAUCGUAAACCUCUUUUGUCAGGGAACAAAGGCGGGGACUAGUCCCCGGAUGAGGGUACCUGAAGAAAAAGCAUCGGCUAACUCCGUGCCAGCAGCCGCGGUAAUACGGAGGGGGCAAGCGUUAUCCGGAUUUACUGGGGGUAAAGGGAGCGCAGGCGGCGUGGCAAGUCAGAUGUGAAAACCCGGGGCCCAACCCCGGGAGUGCAUUUGAAACUGCCAUGCUGGAGUGUCGGAGAGGUAAGCGGAAUUCCUAGUGUAGCGGUGAAAUGCGUAGAUAUUAGGAGGAACACCAGUGGCGGAGGCGGCUUACUGGACGGUAACUGACGCUGAGGCUCGAAAGCGUGGGGAGCAAACAGGAUUAGAUACCCCAGUAGUC
This 460-nucleotide ribosomal RNA is filed under the name uncultured bacterium. RNAcentral's name for it is "partial 16S ribosomal RNA". It matches the Rfam family "Bacterial small subunit ribosomal RNA", at positions 338 to 795 of the family's 1533-position model. The record is from RNAcentral.